UUUUCCUCCGUCCCGCGAAGAGUGCGGGAUUCAUGGCGGUUGGGAUAGUGAUUGAUGCCGGCGCCUGUAGUGGGCGUUCCGGUGGGUGCACAACAACGAACCGUCGCAKCAAGUGGUGUUGAGGGCAUGUGAGUGUCGUCGAUGUCGUUGAGCUUGCUGUGGUGGCUGCCAGGCACACUGUUGGGUCCUGAGGCAACACGCUUUGGGUGUUGUCGCCUCACCGGUUUUGGUGUGGGGUGUGGUGUUUGAGUUGUGGAUAGUGGUUGCGAGCAUCUAGCAGAUGAGAUCUCUAUUGUGGGGUUUUGUUUGUUGGUGUGAUUUUGUUUUUUGAACACUUUUGGUUUUUGUGU
This 350-nucleotide ribosomal RNA is filed under the name Mycobacterium triviale. RNAcentral's name for it is "Mycolicibacillus trivialis ribosomal RNA". The record is from RNAcentral. Lineage: Bacteria; Bacillati; Actinomycetota; Actinomycetes; Mycobacteriales; Mycobacteriaceae.